AUGGUCCAGAUGUCGCUGACAAAGGAGGAGUACAGCUGGUUUUCCGACUUCCUCAAAUUCAAGCACUGUCUCUUAGGGGGAAAGAAGGCCCAGCACUUCUUUUUCAAUUCAACAAACACUCAGAUGAAGAACCUGCCUGCCUACCUGAGGGAGGUGUGGAAGGAGAUGGGUCUGCCCGAAUGUCCUUCAUUCACUGACAUGAGGACCUCCAUUGUCACUCAUGUAAAAAACAUGCUCCCAAAGGUUGACAGGGAAAGGGUGGCCAACUUCAUGUGCCACAACAUCCAGACGGCAGACAAAUAUUAUGCCAUGAAUUUAAAUCCAACCCAAGCAAAUGAAACCAGGGCACUCUUUGAGGCUGCACUGAAGGGGGAAGAUAACACAGUCGCCGCAGAGAACCAGCCCUCCACCUCAGGAGAAAGAAAGCAGAAGGUGAGAGAGGAUGCCUCCCUCUCCGACGGGAGCACCACCCCUGAAGAGACCAAGGUGAUGUACCAGGAGUCUGGCACGUCCGCCGGUGACUCGGAAGAGGAGGAAGAGGAUGAAGAUGAGGAACAGAUGGCCAGACAACUUCCAGUAAGAUCAGCUAUUCUGACAGGACACAUUUGAUUAUCAAAAUGUACUUGUAAACUAUGUAACAGUCAAGUGUGAAUUCUGAGAUAUAUCUAAUUUCUUGUGUUUGCUCUGUCAGGAGACACCUUCCAAGGUGACCAAUCCUCAGGUGGAGAUGGAACUUACCCCAAAGAGGAAGCGGAGCAUCUGCACACGCCGCAUGGAGGUCGCCAUCAGCCCCAUGC
RNAcentral lists this long non-coding RNA (797 nucleotides) under Oncorhynchus mykiss (rainbow trout). RNAcentral's name for it is "lncRNA (ENSOMYG00000060693.1)". The record is from RNAcentral. Lineage: Eukaryota; Metazoa; Chordata; Actinopteri; Salmoniformes; Salmonidae.